CCUACGGGCGGCAGCAGUGGGGAAUAUUGGACAAUGGGCGAAAGCCUGAUCCAGCCAUGCCGCGUGUGUGAAGAAGGCCUUCGGGUUGUAAAGCACUUUCAGUGGGGAAGAAAGCCUUGGGGCUAAUACCCUCGAGGAAGGACAUCACCCACAGAAGAAGCACCGGCUAACUCCGUGCUAGCAGCCGCGGUAAUACGGAGGGUGCGAGCGUUAAUCGGAAUUACUGGGCGUAAAGCGCGCGUAGGCGGUCUGAUAAGCCGGUUGUGAAAGCCCCGGGCUCAACCUGGGAACGGCAUCCGGAACUGUCAGGCUAGAGUGCAGGAGAGGAAGGUAGAAUUCCCGGUGUAGCGGUGAAAUGCGUAGAGAUCGGGAGGAAUACCAGUGGCGAAGGCGGCCUUCUGGACUGACACUGACGCUGAGGUGCGAAAGCGUGGGUAGCAAACAGGAUUAGAUACCCCAGUAGUC
Molecule: ribosomal RNA, 465 nt
Filed under: Vreelandella stevensii
Lineage: Bacteria; Pseudomonadati; Pseudomonadota; Gammaproteobacteria; Oceanospirillales; Halomonadaceae
Description: partial 16S ribosomal RNA
Rfam family: Bacterial small subunit ribosomal RNA
Source: RNAcentral